This 532-nucleotide ribosomal RNA is filed under the name uncultured fungus. RNAcentral's name for it is "SSU rRNA". It matches the Rfam family "Eukaryotic small subunit ribosomal RNA", at positions 288 to 822 of the family's 1831-position model. Lineage: Eukaryota; Fungi. The record is from RNAcentral.
GAUGGGUUCAUUCAAAUUUCUGCCCUAUCAACUUUCGAUUGUAAGAUAGAGGCUUACAAUGGUCUUAACGGGUAACGGGGAAUUAGGGUUCUAUUCCGGAGAGGGAGCCUGAGAAACGGCUACCACAUCCAAGGAAGGCAGCAGGCGCGCAAAUUACCCAAUGCUAAUUCAGCGAGGUAGUGACAAUCAAAUACUGAUACGGGGCUCUUUCGGGUCUCGUAAUUUGGAAUGAGUACAAUCUAAAUCCCUUAACGAGGAACAAUUGGAAGGCAAGUCUGGUGCCAGCAGCCGCGGUAAUUCCAGCUCCAAUAGCGUAUAUUAAAGUUGUUUGCAGUUAAAAAGCUCGUAGUUGAACCUUGGACCUGGCUGGCAGGUCACGCCUCACCGAGUGCACUGGUCCGGCCGGGCCUUUCCUUCUGGGGAGCCGAAUGCACCUUCACUGGGUGUGUCGGGAAAACAGGACUUUUACUUUGAAAAAAUAGAGUGUCAAAGCAGGCUAUGCUCAGAAUACAUUAGGCAUGGAAUAAUAGAA